AUUGAACGCUGGCGGCAGGCCUAACACAUGCAAGUCGAACGAGUGGCGGACGGGUGAGAAAUAUCUAGGAAACUGCAUGCUGGAGGAGGAUAACUACUGGAAACGGUUGCUAAUACAGCCUACCAUAUGAUGUGCCAAGAUGGUAUUAGCUUGUUGGUGGGGUAACGUAUCAGGAAGGCGACGCUCCCUAGAUGGUCUGAGAGGAUGACCCGCCACACGGGUACGAGGACACGGUCCAGACUCCGACGGGAGGCAGCAGUGGAGAAUAUUGCACAAUGGGCACAAGCCUAAUGCGGCCAUGGCGCGUGUAUGUAGAAGGCCUUCGGGUUGUAAAGUACUUGCAGCGGGGAGGCGUUACCCGCAGAAGAAGCACCGGCUAACUCCGUGCCAGCCGCCGCGGUAAUAC
RNAcentral lists this ribosomal RNA (406 nucleotides) under uncultured bacterium. Its description in RNAcentral is "partial 16S ribosomal RNA". It matches the Rfam family "Bacterial small subunit ribosomal RNA", at positions 30 to 526 of the family's 1533-position model. The record is from RNAcentral.